Molecule: long non-coding RNA, 536 nt
Organism: Triplophysa rosa
Lineage: Eukaryota; Metazoa; Chordata; Actinopteri; Cypriniformes; Nemacheilidae
Exons: 5
Source: RefSeq, a predicted model, not a curated record
GCUGCAGCGUCUUCCUUUUCUUCUCGGGAUAGCUAGAGUAGCGGUACUUAGAGUAGUUAGUAGUUGCAACUGUUUCUCCCGAUUCUGCGGGGUUUUUUUUCUUAUAUUUAUACAAGUAUUCUGUCUUAAACGGUAAUUUAGGUAAUCAUUUUUACAGCAGUCAGAUACAUGCAAAGACCGAUGCGGUGGACGUAAGUACAUGAAUCUACACCAUGAAGCAAGACACGUGUUGAAUGAGGAAUCUACACCAUGAAGUAAAAGUUUGUUAAUUUAAGGAAUCUACACCAUGAAGUAAAAGUUAAUUUAAGGUGUCUGAAACGUCUACCCCCAAAACUCUUCUUUUAGACUAUGCUUGUUCUGGAUGUUCUGUUUUGAAGUUGAUUGAGAUUUGAUGGGUUUUUUUUACGUAUUUAACAGUUUUUGUCCCUGUUUAGAAACAAAUGUUUUAUUAGAUGAAUGGCUUUUGUAUUUAGGAGUCUGUAAUUUGUUGUGUUGUACUGAAGUUCUACAAUAAAUUCUCAUUUACUGCAAGUUGA